RNAcentral lists this ribosomal RNA (483 nucleotides) under uncultured bacterium. RNAcentral's name for it is "partial 16S ribosomal RNA". It matches the Rfam family "Bacterial small subunit ribosomal RNA", at positions 29 to 506 of the family's 1533-position model. The record is from RNAcentral.
AUUGAACGCUGGCGGCAUGCUUUACACAUGCAAGUCGAACGGCAGCGCGGGCUUCGGCCUGGCGGCGAGUGGCGAACGGGUGAGUAAUACAUCGGAACGUGCCCAGUAGUGGGGGAUAGCUCGGCGAAAGCCGGAUUAAUACCGCAUACGACCUGAGGGUGAAAGCGGGGGAUCUUCGGACCUCGCGCUAUUGGAGCGGCCGAUGGCAGAUUAGCUAGUUGGUGGGGUAAAGGCCUACCAAGGCGACGAUCUGUAGCUGGUCUGAGAGGACGACCAGCCACACUGGGACUGAGACACGGCCCAGACUCCUACGGGAGGCAGCAGUGGGGAAUUUUGGACAAUGGGCGAAAGCCUGAUCCAGCAAUGCCGCGUGUGUGAUGAAGGCCUUCGGGUUGUAAAGCACUUUUGGCGGGAACGAAAGGGACUGUGCCAAUACCACGGUUCGAUGACGGUACCCGCAGAAUAAGCACCGGCUAACUACGU